GACAGCGUGUCCGAGUGGUUAAGGAAGUGGACUGGAGUCAUGAGUCCCUAAGGCUCAGCCUGCGCAGGGUCGAAUCCUGCCGCUAUCG
Molecule: transfer RNA, 88 nt
Filed under: Perkinsus olseni
Lineage: Eukaryota; Perkinsozoa; Perkinsida; Perkinsidae
Description: tRNA-Ser
Rfam family: tRNA
About the family: Transfer RNA (tRNA) molecules are approximately 80 nucleotides in length. Their secondary structure includes four short double-helical elements and three loops (D, anti-codon, and T loops).
Source: RNAcentral